GUGUGUAUAGCUCGUAGAUGGGAG
RNAcentral lists this non-coding RNA (24 nucleotides) under Arabidopsis thaliana (thale cress). Lineage: Eukaryota; Viridiplantae; Streptophyta; Magnoliopsida; Brassicales; Brassicaceae. The record is from RNAcentral.